Long non-coding RNA from Cervus elaphus (red deer), 1373 nucleotides. RefSeq lists it as uncharacterized. Lineage: Eukaryota; Metazoa; Chordata; Mammalia; Artiodactyla; Cervidae. The record is from RefSeq and is a predicted model, not a curated record. The transcript is spliced from 4 exons.
AGCAGCCAUCCCAGCAGGACCGGGAGUCCGGGGCUCAGCUGAUUCCACUGCUGGAGCAGGUCACAGAGGACAGCCAGAGCCAGGUCCAGGGCGCUGGAGGCAUCCACCUGACAGAAGGCGAAUUCUGCAGACGAGAGAGCAAGGGCUCACAGCACUAUGGGGAAGAACAUAAUUUCAUCCACCAGCAAAACCAGUGCCUGCAGCUCGUGCAGCACUCCCAAUGGGUCCAUGAAGACCACUCGGAAGUGAUCAGAGAUGCCACCAGGAAGGCCGGACUGUUGCACCUGCCCCACCUGAGGACCAGUGUCCCCUGUCCUGCACCAUGGGGCUGGGCAUCACACCUAGGAAGUGCCAGGGGAGUCCUGGGGAUGACUGAAGCUCUAGAGGAGAGCUGGUGUGUUGUCUGGAAGCAAAUCUACUAGAAUUACAACCAUCCAAACACCGACCCCACCAGAAGAAGCAGCCCAUGUGCCGGUCGGUGCUCCCACGGGCAGCCCCAGCGGAAACUGAGACCACGGCCCACGCAUCCACUGCUGGACGUCGUGCCCUGGAUGACAGCCAGCCCCUCCCCUCACUCCCAACCUGCCCAUGGUACUAAGUCUGCCCGGGAACUCCGACUUCAGCUGGUCCAGGGAAUUUCUUCUCAGCCUGAGCGCUCAGGACUGACUAGCUCCUUCCGAGUUCUUUGUGAAGCUUCUCUGGCCCUCAGAUGGGGGGCUGCCCAGCUUCCUUAAGACACCGGUGGGAUAUGGAAGGUGGAAGAUGAGGAUGGUCUGGGUGUGUAUCUAAAGACUAGAAAUUUGAAAUCAGAAACAUCCCGGAUGGUGGAACUUCCCUGGUGGUCUAGAGGCUAAGGCUCUGAGCUCCCAAUGCAGAGGGCCUGGGUUUGACCCUAGGGAACUAGAUCCCACAUGCCAUGACGAAGAUCAAAGAUCCCACAACUGAGACCCAGUGCAGUCAAACAAACAAAUAGCUACAUUUAAAAAAAGAAGAAGAAGAAAAAGAAACAUCCAGGAUGGUCAUUUUUCUCUCCUGAGAACCUUCCCACUAUCACCUCCUGCCUUCUCCCAAAUCCAGAAAGCUACUCUUUAGAUGCCCACUCCUCAUUCUCAGGCUUUUAUGGCUCUAAACAGAACAAAGAGAGUCCUUGGUAAUGCAAUGAGCAAAAGUGAAAAGUGAAAGUGUUAGUCAUUCAGUUGUGUCUGACUCUUUGUGACCCCAUGGACUGUAGUCCGUCAGGCUCCUCUGUCCAUGGAAUUCUCCAGGCAAGAAUACUGGAGUGGGCUGCGGCAGGGGAUCUUCCCGACCCAGGGAUCAAACCCAGGUCUCCUCCAUUGCGGAGGAUUCUUUACAAAACAAGGAAUAAAUGACUC